CACAAACACAUUUGAAGAUUAUAUGCUCGUAAAAGUAAAUAUUUUGUUGUGGAUUCGGAUCGUAAUACAGAGAAAAGUAACGAAAGAAAGAUUCAAAAGAAAGGUUUACGACGAGAAAUUCCCAAAGAUUUGAUAUUACGAGCCAUAGAAGAGGUAUCAAAAGGAUCAAAAAUAAAAACAACAGCCUUUAUGGGUUCUAACUAAUUUAAGAUAAGUCGUGAUAUAUUUAAGAUGUUUUUUUUUUGUUGUUAUUACGUAUAUUUUUGGCGUCUAUUAUAGAUGUUAAGUGUUUUACAGGCCAUGCCCAAGCCUCCCACCGGGUGUGCCCAAUGCUCCCUACCAUAGGGAGCCUUGGGCACUUUUGACUUAAUUUUUUAAUUACCUUCUAAUUAGGAGACUGAUUAUUAUUAUAAGAAAGUUCUUUAUAAGAUAUCUAGCCAAAAGUAUGGAGCAAUAGAAAGUGGCAAUAAAUGUAGAUUAUCUACAAAA
Spodoptera frugiperda (fall armyworm) is the source of this 489-nucleotide long non-coding RNA. RefSeq lists it as uncharacterized. The record is from RefSeq and is a predicted model, not a curated record. NCBI's taxonomy places the organism in Eukaryota, Metazoa, Arthropoda, Insecta, Lepidoptera, Noctuidae. The transcript is spliced from 2 exons.